Molecule: ribosomal RNA, 451 nt
Filed under: uncultured bacterium
Lineage: Bacteria
Description: bacterial SSU rRNA
Rfam family: Bacterial small subunit ribosomal RNA
Source: RNAcentral
AACGAACGCUGGCGGCAUGCCUAACACAUGCAAGUCGAACGCUCAUCUUCGGAUGGGAGUGGCGCACGGGUGAGUAACGCGUGGGAACCUGCCCCGAGGUGGGGGAUAACCCGGCGAAAGCCGGGCUAAUACCGCAUACGUCCUGAGGGAGAAAGAUUGAUCGCCUUGGGAGGGGCCCGCGUCGGAUUAGGUAGUUGGUGGGGUAACGGCCUACCAAGCCGGUGAUCCGUAGCUGGUCUGAGAGGAUGGCCAGCCACACUGGGACUGAGACACGGCCCAGACUCCUACGGGAGGCAGCAGUGGGGAAUAUUGGACAAUAGGCGCAAGCCUGAUCCAGCAAUGCCGCGUGAGUGAUGAAGGCCUUAGGGUUGUAAAGCUCUUUCGCCCGCGACGAUGAUGACGGUAGCGGGAGAAGAAGCCCCGCUAACUUCGUGCCAGCCGCCGCUGUAAG